GAUGAACGCUGGCGGCGUGCCUAAUACAUGCAAGUCGAACGGGAAUCUUCGGAUUCCAGUGGCGAACGGGUGAGGAAUACAUAGGUAACCUGCCCCUCCGAGGGGGACAACAGACGGAAACAUCUGCUAAGACCGCAUAGCCACAGGGAAGGCAUCUUCCCUGUGCCAAAUGUCCUUUCGGGGACAGCGGGGGGAUGGACCUAUGCCGCAUUAGCUGGUUGGCGGGGCAACGGCCCACCAAGGCGACGAUGCGUAGCCGGCCUGAGAGGGCGGACGGCCACACUGGGACUGAGACACGGCCCAGACUCCUACGGGAGGCAGCAGUAGGGAAUUUUCGGCAAUGGGGGAAACCCUGACCGAGCAACGCCGCGUGAACGAUGAAGGCCUUCGGGUCGUAAAGUUCUGUUGCGAAGGAAGAACGCCGGUGUCAGGAAAUGGGCGCCGGGUGACGGUACU
Molecule: ribosomal RNA, 456 nt
Filed under: bacterium YRB2001
Lineage: Bacteria
Also listed under: 1 other name
Description: bacterial SSU rRNA
Rfam family: Bacterial small subunit ribosomal RNA
Source: RNAcentral